UACGAAGGGGGCUAGCGUUGCUCGGAAUCACUGGGCGUAAAGGGUGCGUAGGCGGGUCUUUAAGUCCGGGGUGAAAUCCUGGAGCUCAACUCCAGAACUGCCUUUGAUACUGAAGAUCUUGAGUUCGGGAGAGGUGAGUGGAACUGCGAGUGUAGAGGUGAAAUUCGUAGAUAUUCGCAAGAACACCAGUGGCGAAGGCGGCUCACUGGCCCGAUACUGACGCUGAGGCACGAAAGCCAGGGGAGCGAACGGG
Molecule: ribosomal RNA, 253 nt
Filed under: uncultured bacterium
Lineage: Bacteria
Description: partial 16S ribosomal RNA
Rfam family: Bacterial small subunit ribosomal RNA
Source: RNAcentral